Molecule: ribosomal RNA, 253 nt
Filed under: uncultured bacterium
Lineage: Bacteria
Description: partial 16S ribosomal RNA
Rfam family: Bacterial small subunit ribosomal RNA
Source: RNAcentral
UACAGAGGUCCCAAGCGUUGUUCGGAUUCAUUGGGCGUAAAGGGUGCGUAGGUGGCGGGGUAAGUUGGAUGUGAAAUCCCGGGGCUUAACCCUGGAACUGCAUUCAAUACUGCCUUGCUCGAGUACUGGAGAGGAGAUUGGAAUUCAUGGUGUAGCAGUGAAAUGCGUAGAUAUCAUGAGGAAGACCAGUGGCGAAGGCGGAUCUCUGGACAGUUACUGACACUGAGGCACGAAGGCCAGGGGAGCAAACGGG